RNAcentral lists this long non-coding RNA (920 nucleotides) under Mus musculus (house mouse). RNAcentral's name for it is "long non-coding RNA chr17:85498620-85499540". Lineage: Eukaryota; Metazoa; Chordata; Mammalia; Rodentia; Muridae. The record is from RNAcentral.
GGGCCUGGCAGAAUGGCUCCCGCAAAGAAGGGUGGCGAGAAGAAGAAGGGCUGUUCUGCCAUCAACGAGGUGGUGACCCGAGAAUACACCAUCAACAUUCACAAGCGCAUCCAUGGAGUGGGCUUCAAGAAGCAUGCUCCUCGGGCACUCAAAGAAAUUCGGAAGUUUGCCAUGAAGGAAAUGGGGACACCAGAUGUGCGCAUUGACACCAGGCUCAAUAAAGCCGUCUGGGCCAAGGGAAUAAGGAACGUUCCAUAUCGCAUCCAAGUACGCUUGCAGAAAACGUAAUGAGGAUGAGGAUUCCCCAAACAAGCUCUACACGCUGGUAACUUACGUGCCUGUUACCACAUUCAAAAAUCUACAGACGGUCAAUGUGGAUGAGAACUAACCUGCUCAUGUCAAAUAACGUUGCAGAACUGCAAAAAAAAAAAAAAAAAAAAAAAAAAGAAAAAAAGAAUGGCUAUUACAGCUUGUUUCUUGAGACCAUUUGCUUGGAAAAUUGUUUUCCAGACCUUUACUUUGAGGUAGUGUCUGUCUUUGACACUGAAGUGCAUUUCCUGUAUGUAGCAAAAUGCUGGAUUCUGUUUAUGUAUCCAGUCUUUAUUUUAUGUCUUUUUAUUGGGGAAUUGAGUCCAUUGAUGUUAAGAGAUAUUAAGGAAUAGUGAUUGUUGCUUCCUGUUAUUUUUUUAUGUUAUUUUUAUGUUUGUAUGGCUAUCUUUUUGGGGGGGUGUUGAAAGAAGAUUAAUUUCUUGUUUUUUCUAGGGUGUAGUUUCCCUCCUUGUGUUGACGUUUUCCAUCUACUAUCCUUUGUAGGCCUGGAUUUGUGGAAAGAUAUUGUUUAAAUUUGUUUUUGUCAUGGAAUAUCCUUGUUUCUCCAUUUAUGGUAAUUGAGAGUUUUGCUGGGUAUAGUCACCUGGGCU